Molecule: ribosomal RNA, 404 nt
Filed under: uncultured bacterium
Lineage: Bacteria
Description: bacterial SSU rRNA
Rfam family: Bacterial small subunit ribosomal RNA
Source: RNAcentral
UGGGGAAUCUUGCGCAAUGGGCGAAAGCCUGACGCAGCAAUGCCGCGUGAGGGAAGAAGGCCUUAGGGUCGUAAACCUCUUUCAGCGGGGACGAAACAAGACGGUACCCGCAGAAGAAGCCCCGGCUAACUACGUGCCAGCAGCCGCGGUAAUACGUAGGGGGCAAGCGUUGUCCGGAAUCAUUGGGCGUAAAGCGCGUGUAGGCGGACUGGAAGGUCUGGUGUGAAAGCCCGGGGCUCAACCCCGGAGGGUCACUGGAAACCGACAGUCUCGAGUCCGGAAGAGGAGAGUGGAAUUCCUGGUGUAGCGGUGGAAUGCGCAGAUAUCAGGAGGAACACCUAUGGCGAAGGCAGCUCUCUGGUACGUGACUGACGCUGAGACGCGAAAGCGUGGGGAGCGAACAG